AGUAAAGUCAGCUAAUAAAGCUCUCGGACCCAUACCCCGAAAAUGUGGAAUCUCCACCUUUACUA
Molecule: transfer RNA, 65 nt
Filed under: Aeluroscalabotes felinus
Lineage: Eukaryota; Metazoa; Chordata; Lepidosauria; Squamata; Eublepharidae
Description: tRNA-Met
Source: RNAcentral